This 415-nucleotide ribosomal RNA is filed under the name uncultured bacterium. Its description in RNAcentral is "bacterial SSU rRNA". It matches the Rfam family "Bacterial small subunit ribosomal RNA", at positions 363 to 775 of the family's 1533-position model. The record is from RNAcentral.
AUUGGUCAAUGGGCGCAAGCCUGAACCAGCCAUCCCGCGUGCAGGAAGACGGCCCUAUGGGUUGUAAACUGCUUUUCCAGGGGGAGAAUCUUUCUGUCGUGACAGGAAUUGACGGUACCCUGGGAAUAAGCAUCGGCUAACUCCGUGCCAGCAGCCGCGGUAAUACGGAGGAUGCGAGCGUUAUCCGGAUUUAUUAGGUUUAAAGGGUGCGUAGGCGGAUUGAUAAGUCAGUGGUGAAAACCUGCAGCUUAACUGUAGACUUGCCGUUGAUACUGUCAGUCUUGAGUGUGGUGAAGGUAGGCGGAAUGUGUAAUGUAGCGGUGAAAUGCUUAGAUAUUACACAGAACACCGAUUGCGAAGGCAGCUUACUGGGCCAUUACUGACGCUGAUGCACGAAAGCGUGGGGAUCGAACAG